GUUUAUUGGGCACUUCCUAGCACCAGGCACUGCAAUAAGAAAUGGAGGUUAAACCAUGAAGAAACAUGGCUCUAGCCCUUAGGGAGCUCCCGGUCCUGCAGACCCCACAUAUAGGAACCAUCGGAUCCCUGUGUACAGAUGAAGAACUGAGUCUUGGAAAGCUUAACUACCUUGCUCACAGUCACACGUUAAGGUCUAAAGUGAGAAAUUAAACCAAGUCUUCCAAUCUCAAAGACUUUAAAGGAAAAGCUACAAGCUACAAG
Molecule: non-coding RNA, 263 nt
Filed under: Homo sapiens (human)
Lineage: Eukaryota; Metazoa; Chordata; Mammalia; Primates; Hominidae
Source: RNAcentral